GGGGAUUUAGCUCAGUGGUAGAGCACUUGCCUAGCAAGCGCAAGGCCCUGGGUUCGGUCCCAAGCUCCA
Molecule: transfer RNA, 69 nt
Filed under: Rattus norvegicus (Norway rat)
Lineage: Eukaryota; Metazoa; Chordata; Mammalia; Rodentia; Muridae
Rfam family: tRNA
About the family: Transfer RNA (tRNA) molecules are approximately 80 nucleotides in length. Their secondary structure includes four short double-helical elements and three loops (D, anti-codon, and T loops).
Source: Rfam by way of RNAcentral